CCUACGGGGGGCUGCAGUAGGGAAUAUUGCGCAAUGGAGGAAACUCUGACGCAGCGACGCCGCGUGGGCGAUGAAGGCUUUCGGGUCGUAAAGCCCUGUCGGAAGAGAAGAAAAAUCCUGUGGCUAAUAUCCACAGGACUUGACGGUACCUUCAGAGGAAGCACCGGCUAACUACGUGCCAGCAGCCGCGGUAAUACGUAGGGUGCAAGCGUUGGUCAAGCGCAUGUAGCUGGUCACGUAAGUCGGUGGUGAAAGCCCCGGGCUCAACCUGGGAAGUGCAUCCGAAACUAGUUGACUAGAAGACAGUAGAGGAAGGUGGAAUUCCAAGUGUAGAGGUGAAAUUCGUAGAUAUUUGGAGGAAUACCGGCGGCGAAGGCGGCCUUCUGGGCUGUUCUUGACACUGAGACGCGAAAGCGUGGGUAGCAAACAGGAUUAGAUACCCCUGUAGUC
Molecule: ribosomal RNA, 450 nt
Filed under: uncultured bacterium
Lineage: Bacteria
Description: partial 16S ribosomal RNA
Rfam family: Bacterial small subunit ribosomal RNA
Source: RNAcentral